Molecule: long non-coding RNA, 8845 nt
Filed under: Lynx pardinus (Iberian lynx)
Lineage: Eukaryota; Metazoa; Chordata; Mammalia; Carnivora; Felidae
Source: RNAcentral
GGAUCCUUUGGAGCCAAGGACUGAACUGCCAUGCAAGACCUCUGCCAACUGAGGGUUUCAUGAGCGCACUCCCUUGCCAAGAUCUUGGUGAAUAGUCUUUCACUGUGCAAUUGUGUCUCAGACAUUGUUUUACUUGUUAUCAUGAUUGUGCUUGGCUGGAUGCUUUUUGUUGGACUUGCAUGUUACAUGGGCACAUUUCCAGAGUUCACGGUAAGUAAUGACCCUGCCUGUGAAUCCCUGGUAGUAGUCAGUCCUGGCUCUGACUCCACCUCCCAGCCAGGGUUUCUGACCAAAUGGGAAAGACAGUUGAGGCCUCAUCACUAAUUAGAGGUCAGGGUGCAGUGGGAACAAAGUUGGCUUCCCAGGCUACUUCUCAACUCACUGGGAUUAUCUUUAAGUUCCACCCACCCCUUGGGUACAUAACAUUACUUAUUUUAAAUUUAUAAGGGGUUUGCUGGAGAAAGUGGAUUUCAGGCAAAGUGGAUCAAUGGUCGCCGGCUAGAAAGGGAAGGUGGGCAUUGGUGGGACCUCCAACAGUCACGGUCACAGACAGAGGCAAUUACCUGCUAGGCCAACAAGUAGAACCGCUUCUGCCUUUAAAUUUCUUUCUGACUCAGCCUCCAACUCUGAAGUGGAAAGAGAAGUGGCCUGUUCAGGAGAGCAAGACACGACUGAGGAGCCUGGCUUUGGAUGAAGAACCACAACUAUGAGUGAGUGGUCAGGUCUGCUGGACUCAAUUCCUCCCUUUCCAGAGAACAUGGCAACCCCUUGAAAUCUCAGUAGGAAGUUUAUAUUCCCCUGGGAAACAAUAAACUGUAGAAAGGGAAGUGGGUUGAGAUAUGUGGUGGGGAAAGAGAAUUCAGUGAGCACUGCUUUGGACAGCAGGCCAAGGCUCAAAGAUUUGUUAAGCACAUCUUAACUGGUAUUCUUCCCAAAGACUAUUCCUGUCUAUUAACUUGUUUUCUCACAAACUCUGUAGUAAGUCGGACCAGCGUUUUUAGCGCCCCUUUUGGCAGAUCCCAAGACAGGUUCAAGUUCUAACUUUGCAACUCACUAGCUACGUGACCUUGGGAAAGUUUAAUCUCUCUAAACCUCAGUUUCUUCAUCUGUAUAACGGAGAUAUCUGUGUAUCUUACUGUUUUUGUGAGGCUUGCAUCUGGGAAUUCAUGUAAAGCAUUUGAUGCAAAGCAUUUACUAAAUGCCAACUUAACAACCAAGCAAAAUAAUGAACGGGUCCACAAAGAUUUAGUGGUGACAGUAACCUCAACUAUUUACCCAAGGCCAUACAAAUCAAUUCCUUUGAGAAGCUGGGAUGCGAGCAUAGUUCUCUGGACUUAACAGCCUCUUGCACUCGUUCCACUAGACCAGCCUGCCUUUAGGAGACAGGAAUAGCAGUAUCCUUUUCACAACCGUCUCCUGGCUUUCUUCCCUCCCACUCCCUUUCACUCAGAUCUGGUUUUUCAAAGGUGUUCCCACUGUUAAAGAAACUUUACUCUGAGAGUCUUAGUAAUGAACUGAUAACAGGAGCAGAUUUUCUGGGAAGCUACUCUGGAAAGCAGUGGUAUCAAGUCCUAACCCCAGGUACACUGAGAGCAGGGCAUGAGGGUUUGUUUGUUUGUUUGUUUUUUUCCAUCGGCCCCAGUAUUUCCAUGCAAGUGUUGACCCAGCUCGGUCAGAUCAUUGUUGGGGUGGGGACGUAGAUGGAGGCCCUGGGCACUUGCUUAGCUGAGGCACUGCCACCCUGAUCCUGACCAAGCCACUGGAAAUGUUCUGUGCCUCAGGUUCUCCAGCUUUGAAAUGAGCAGGACAGCCUAAUGCCCUCUCUUCCCUUUCCAGGGAAGGGAACCCUACACGAUGAGGGUUUAAUUGUGACAUUUCGCGAAAUGUGAGAUGUUCAUUUGUUUGGUUUUUUGCGAAUAGCCUAACGAUAGUCUAUAAAGUAAUUGCUCAUAGCAUACCUAGCCAAUCCUCCCAAUUAAUCCAGGGUAUUUUUUGUUUUGUUUUGUUUGCAUGGCACUGCUUUUUGCAUCUGAUUGCAUGAAAGCAACAGUUAAUAUUUUGACAGGUGAUGAGUUAAUAAAGUUCUGAUGCCAGCUAGAUCCUGACCGUGUAGAGUCACCAGAGAACAGGGCCCUUCUUUUAAGGGUUCUUUGGCCCCAACACACCAGGCACCCUGGCCAGUUGUCCCAUAGUUACUCGAUCUGAUGGGUCCCUCCAAGGUCACAGGAGCUGAUGUCACAAUUGGUGUCUGAGCUCUGCCCCCUAAAAUGGCCAUGGCCAGCCAUUUCAGUUCACACUAGACCACGAAGCCCCUCAGCCAGGAGCUAUCAUGCUGGGCGAUCCGCCAUCCGGUCUGGAAUGAAGACAGCCCAGCUCCCAGGACUCAAGGAAUAGAGCGCCACACCUUUCAGAACCACCUGUUUUCCCCAGCACAUCCCACCAGUGAGCAAGAAGCCCCACAAUGAUUGUUGUUUUAUGGUUGCUUCUCAUUGCAGGAACCAUGUGGAAAGGAUAUAAGUAUCCCCCAGGAGGGGUAAGUGUGCUUUCAACUUUGUUCUCUGUUCCUCCUUUGAAAUUUAUUCCCCCAGAUCCAUGAGCUGAGCAUCAAAAUCCAACUUUAGAAACAAAUCGUCUUUUCUUGAUUAAGAAAGUGGUGGUAGCUUACCUGCCUCUAUUGUUGCUCGCUGAGAGUUCCCUCUUUCACGUCUUUCUUUUAUACAUAUUUUCCUAAGAGUCUUUACUCUUACAUUUUUCAGUUUUAUAUAACCUGGAGGUAGAGAGGUAAAGACUCAGGCAAUGCUGUCUGACAUGGGUGACCUAGUCUUGUGCUCAGGGGCCAUUUUCAGUGCUGGGGUCUUCAGUCCCAUUUCUUAAAUCAGCCCAGACCAGCAACCCACCCUUAACUCUCCCUCAUCAAGUAAAGGGUGGUCUAUAAAAUGGUUCUGGUGCUAGAAAUCUUCUCUCUUCCUGUUAGACCUUGGAUAUGUGUCCUUUCUCUGCCUCUUGUCCGCUCCCACAUGGCUAAGCCCCUCUGGCAGUGGAGGUCAGAGACAUUAAGAGACAGAAUUGGACAGAACCACUUCUGCCUGUCUUUGGCAAGGAAGGCAAUUACCUCAGCCGCACACUCUGGCAGACACUAGAGAAGGCCCACCUGACAUACUUUUGUCCCCCCAGACCCCGGUGGAAGUAAGCAAAGAUGAUCCUGGUGAAGUCAUGCAGCUCUGAAGCUCACCUGGCCUGCUGUAGAGUUCCUGUUGUUGGUUUCGCAUAAAGUAAUUGCACAUUAUUUUGUCACAUUUUAUGUAAAAAGUUACCGUACUUUUUAAGAUGAAGAGCUGAUAUUCUGUUAGCUCAAAACAGGGAGAUGGGGGAGGGUAGUUGGGUUAGACGAACGUGAUUGGGUGCCUCUGUUUCAGUCUCUAAGACUAAAGUCUUAGACUAAAAUACCUAGUUCAAUUUGCCCCCUAUUCUGAAUCCUUAGGGAUAGAAAUUCUCUAAAGCUCCUUUGACCUAGUUCCCGGGUGUAGUCUUCCUCCUGCAUCCAGGGUCCAGGGUCAAAAAAACGUUCAGAAAAUGCUAGAGAUUGCAGCAACUUUAAGCCUAUCUUUUGGGGAUACUCUUCUGUGGCCUUUUCACAGCUGUUACCAACAACCUUCUGUGGCCUUUUCUCAGCUGUUACCAACAACCUUCUGUGGCCUUUUCACAGCUGUUAUCAAGAACCGAAGGCUUACACUGUGUGGGGGAAGGGAUGUCAUUUUAAUAUGAGGUGCUAGAUACUAAAUUAAACAUUACUUUAAUUCUUAUAAGCUUCUGAGCUGGGCACUAGCCUCAUUGAACAAAAGGUUACAAAUGAAGUUGAGAGACUCAAGUAUCUUACCAGCUGCACAGCUCUGGGUUGGAGUUAAGAUCAAGAUCCAGGCCUUCUCCUUGGCAUACUUUUAUGUGCCAAGGAAAAGAGCCAAACAAGAGACUGGAAUAUCCAAGAUCUUGGCUAUCUCUUGGCUCAAGUGCCCCCUUCAUUUGAAUAGCCAAGAAGGUGCCUGAUGAUUCUUUUAGCAGUAACCACUGCUAAUACAGGGCAGCAUGCAUACAUAGAAACAAAAGCUAAGUGCUCAGUCCUCAAUAUGAUGCAGUUUGAGUUUGAGACCAAGUAUGGAAACUUAAGACCCAUGCAAUUAAUCUAGGUGUUUCAGCCCUAGGAUAUUCCUCAUAAGCCCUCUCUAGGGGUGGUUUGGAAUUUUCUGACCUUAACGGGGUUGGGGGGGGGGAGGGGGAAGAAUCCAACAAGAACAAGUACUUCUAAAAUAAACUGUAUGGAAACUUUCCCAUUCUGUGGCUACUUGGGGAUGACUGAUAGUUCCAUCAUUCAGAAGUGCAUCCUUACCACCAAAGUAGAUCUUUUUGGUUAUGUAGAUAACAUUUUGUUGAGGACUAUUUAGCACACAUUUGCUAAACUAUUUUUAAGUGGCCCUUUGCACUGAAUGAAUUGCCUUUUUUUUUUUUUUUUAUGGAAAGAAAAGUGAAUUCAAAAUCCAUUAGCAACACUGGAAUCCUGAAUCCAGGAUACUAUCUCUUAUAAGGCUUCUUAUAUGACCUAGACUCAACACAUCCCAUUGAGCUAAGUGCCUACAUUUUCUGGCUCCGUGGCUAUACCAACUUGCCUCCUGAAUAUCCCAAAGGACUCAUCUUGUCAGUUGUUUCAAGCUCUUUUAUUACAGGGGAUCAGAACCUUUGCUUGUUUUCUUGACAAGAGGAACUAUACACCCAGUUCUUCUUCCCUCUGGUUCCCUGAAUAUACCUCCAAACAGUUCUCCGGCCUUCAGAGUAGCUCUCUUUUUUUUAAAAAAAUUUUUUUUUUUUCAACGUUUAUUUAUUUUUGGGACAGAGAGAGACAGAGCAUGAACGGGGGAGGGGCAGAGAGAGAGGGAGACACAGAGUCGGAAACAGGCUCCAGGCUCUGAGCCAUCAGCCCAGAGCCCGACGCGGGGCUCGAACUCACGGACCGCGAGAUCGUGACCUGGCUGAAGUCGGACGCUUAACCGACUGCGCCACCCAGGCGCCCCCAGAGUAGCUCUCUUAAGCUGGUGGGGUGAGGGGAGAUGGGUCAGUUGUGGGGGUUGAGCAGAGGUCAGUACGUCAGAGGGAAUGAACAGGUGUGUGUGUGUGUGUGUGUGUGUGUGUGUAAGGAAGCACACCCCAUGUCAAGUCUGAUGAGUCUACUGGGGUUUCUAGCUGGAAAAAUGUUCAGGGUGAUGAAAGAAGGAAUAUCUGAGUUUUGGUAAAUAAAUGCAAACCAGUGAAAAUAUCAAUAAAAUAUUUUUAAUGCCUACAAUUUCUUUUAUACAUAAAUUGCAAAACUUUCACCUGUAUAUGCAAAAGUAGAUUCUCUUGCAGGUCAACAGCACCAGAAAACAAGCUAAACUAUGUAAAUGUUUUUUUUUUUUUUAAAACUUGAUUUGUCCAUUAUGUAAAAGACAUGAUGGAUUUAAUAACUUCAAAGAAAUCUAUAUCCCACUCUUAAUCAUACACUAAACACCUGAAUAUUUAUUUUAUCACAUCCACUCACAAAAUAAAUAGUAGUCUAAUAUAUUCAGCACAUUGAAAAUAAACCAACCAGUUUCUCUUCAUAUAUUUAUUCUCUUUCCAAACAUGUUUUGGUCUCCUGCUAUAUCUCAGAAAUGUACUAAUAGCUGCUUUUAAGUUACAAAAUACAAAACAGUAAUUUCUUGGAGAAAAUCUUGGGGUAACAUUAAAAAAAUGAUAUUUCGAGUUCCUAUAGACUUUCUUUUUUGUUAACAGUCUUUGAACCUUCUCAUGGCACACAUGUAAGGCUGUCUGUGACAUGUGGUACCCUGGCCUCCAAAUGGACGUAAUUGCAUUUAUAGUUUAGAGAAAAUACAAAGACAAGUUUUUGAAAGUAGCCUUAAAAGAAGAGUGCCCCUUGCUUUGACAUAGCAAUAUCAAAAGCAAGUGGGACUGUGCAAUCAGAGCCAUAUGAGUUUUAUGAAAACUACUUUCUUUUCACAUCAUCUGUUAGAGAAUGCCACACCCAUGAUCAUGUAACAUUACAAUCGUGAAAUAACAUUACUACAUUCGUGAAUUAACAUUACCCAAUAAAAGGCACAUCUUCAGAUAUUGAAUUAAUAAAAUCUGAAAAUCAAAACAGUAGAGGAUACAUUAAAAACCAAGCACUUAAUUUGUAAACCUUUAUAAAAUAACAGCUUAUUCCAGUUUCUUCAAAGGUUUGUGAGCUUUUUGUAAGAGCCGUCAGGAAUUGCAGAACAAAACGGAAGACAGGAUUUGGAAACAAGGCCAAGAUUAAUUUAAAAGACUUUCUCAGGACUUUCUUUUUAAAUGAGCUACAGAAGUGCCCUUUUAUAAUGUUGAUGCCGAGGAAUAAUAUAAUCAACAUCUGUAGAAGAAAUACACUCAAAAGUGGUAGAUGCCUAAGGACACGACCUGACUCUUCCUAUGAAGUUCUAGAACUUUUAUCUAGCACAGUGGUGCCUUUCUGUACAAAUAACUGCACGUCGAGUAAAGUGCUAGUAAACAUUAAGCCACCAGAAAUCUUUCAGCUAUGAUAAGCACUUGAUUGUAAUAGAUUUUCAAAGAGUCUAAAUACUGAAAAAAUAUAGCCCAGAAAACAACUUUUGUAGGGGUGGGGCGGGAGGAAGCACAAAAGUGACAGCAAAGGAAAUAAUGUUCCAAACCUGUUUUAUUACGUGGAACACCACACUACCCUUAAAUCAAUUUCACUGAAGAUAUUUUGAGAUGGGUGAGAGGCAGUCAACAGGAUUUUCUGCCAGUGUGACAAUUCUAUGUAGAUCAUUAGAGUGUUACUCCUGGUGAUGAAGACCUCUUUCAGAGGAUCCAGCUUCAAAGUUAAAUGCUUGCACUUUCGAAAUGUGAAACUCAAUUCGAAAUGAGUCAGAGUCUUAAGGGACUAGGUCAAAUGGUUGUCCCAUCAAGGGAGGUAACAACAGUAAUGUAUACCACCCAAACUUGGAGAAUAAAGAAAGCUUUAUGGAUAAAAAGGAAUACACCAAAACAACUUUUGGAACUGUUCUUCAAGCUUAUGUCCCACUGUCCCCAACCCUCCACAUUUAGAAUUAAGGACAAAAGCUCUCUAGCGUCAUCAUAUCUCAUUUUCUGUUGCUGACUUUUCCUUGAGACUUGGCUUCUCUCCAGCCAGAACCUAGGUCAGCCUGAUUGGAAUUGCCUGGGUUUGAGGCUUAAGAGAUCUCAAGUGUAAAAAUAGGACUUGGAAAAAAGUGAGAAUGAAGAAAGUUCCACAGCCCGGUAAAGCACCAGUAGCAGGGAACGUCCUUUUCUACCUGGGAAAAAAAUCUCUUCACAGUGCAUAGUUUGAAAUAAAAGUGCAAUAUGGGCAAAAAGAGAAGGUGGUGCUCUCAAUACACGUGAAUUUAGUUUUUGGCUUUUGGCAUUAAUUGCUAAAGAAUUUAAGAUAAAAUGCAGUCGUUAACAUCAAGAGGUACAGGGGCACCUUUUUCCAAAAUAUCUUUAUAGAGAGGGAGGAGGGGAGUCUCACAUGUCACUUCCUUAUUUUUUAAACUAUUACUCUUCCAAAUCUAAUGUUUGAAUAAAAUAAGCAUUUUUCUUCAGUAUAAAAAUGACUUUUCUUAGAUAAAAAUCAAUCAGCACAGUGACCUUGUGUAUUUUACGCUAAAGCCAAUGUAACAGUAAAUUUGAAAGGAAAACCUGGAAACAUUAUUUUUAAACUAAAUGGCAUAACUUGUAUUUUAACUGGAAAAAAAAAAUUUGUUAAUUGCCUUACCACCUAAAUUAGUGAAUAAGAAUGCUCGGCAUCCAAUCCGUGAAUAAUGUAAAAUACGAUAUAAUUUAUUCUACUUUUUACUUCAAAGUCACAGAGAUGACAUCCAUACGAUAAUUAUAGAGCCUACUCUACAUUUUCAAGUUCUCAAUCCAAACAUAUACAUUAGGACAGGUCACUUUAUUGCUGGCAACAUUCACGGAAGGGCCAGGUUCCUCAUUAAAAGACAAAGUUUGAUUGGGAGCUGGGCAGUGCUCUACUCACACAUCAGCAGAACAUGAAGAGGCAAUCCUUUUUUUUUUUUUUUCCUUUUCAAAAUAGCAAAGGAACAAUGUAAGAUUGGCUGACAGUGAGCAGCCCCCGUUAGAGUGCAUAGCUCAUCAGGAUCAAGGCGGGCACCUGUGAACAGUUAACUUCAUAAGCACGCUCACUGGGCAUUCUAUCAUCUGCAUUAGAUUUAACCCUGGAAAGUAUCUGAAAAUACUUUAUGCUCCAAUGACAGCCUGCAAAUAACAGUAUGCGUUCCUUCUCCUUGAGUACCCAAGUAUAAAUUAAAAUCAUAAAGGGGCUUCUUCAUUCUGAAGGCAGGACCUCCUGGCAGCAGAGUGUCUCCAGAACUUCACAAAAAUAAUAAAAGCAGCAGCUAACGCUUCUUCAGCUUCUUAGCCUUUCGACGCUUCAUUUCUUCUUCUUCACGUCUCAUUUCCUCUAAGUCCUCCUGCAUACCUAGUCUUAAACUGUCACGCACAAAAAAAGAAAAAAAGUACUUGUCAAUAUACAUGACAUUACCACACUCUUUAAAAAUUAAGAAUGAAAUUUCAACUGGGAGCUCAUAUGGAAUGUGCUGAGGCAUUAAAAACGCCUCAAGGCUUUACCACUGAAAACAAACUAGCAGGAAUAUUUUUUACUAGGAGCCUCGGCCACUGAUUCAACUUCUAGUAGAAAAAAGACCUCACAUAAAACCUCAACAUAAAAUACCUUAACAUUCCCAUUAAAGUAAUAAAAUGUAAAUUAUCACAAUGGCUUUUAGAAAUAAAAGAAAAUUUAUUCAAU